GGUAUGGAGGAGGGCUCAUGUUUCUCUGCUGUGGCCACUGUGGCUUCUUUCCCCAUACUUGAGAGAGAUCUGUUUGAGCUAUCCCACAGGGACAUCGGCUCCAGCCUCUGCUGCACAUUUCCCAACUCCUCAGAGAAGCAGUUGAAGACUGUACUGAUGGGUCUCAUCGAAAUCCCUUUGAGAGCUGGUUUUUGUUUGUUCACUUUGGAGGAUGGGUUGAUCUGGCUGUGGAGGAGUUGCUGCUCAGGGAGGAAGCUGAGCCUCCUGCAGGCCUUCUGUGGCUCUUGGUCUUCUAUUACAGCCCACAGGACAGGAGUCAGCAGAGAGAGCAGAGCAUGGUGGAGUUGAAGGUAUUAGUCAACCGUCUCCUGAAGCUGCUCAG
Molecule: long non-coding RNA, 382 nt
Filed under: Rattus norvegicus (Norway rat)
Lineage: Eukaryota; Metazoa; Chordata; Mammalia; Rodentia; Muridae
Description: long non-coding RNA NONRATT012700
Source: RNAcentral